Non-coding RNA from Pelobates cultripes (western spadefoot toad), 391 nucleotides. The record is from the annotation of a GenBank genome assembly. NCBI's taxonomy places the organism in Eukaryota, Metazoa, Chordata, Amphibia, Anura, Pelobatidae.
UUUUAAUAAUGGUUUACAAGAAGGAAUAGAGAAGGCUGUAGGAUUGUGGAAGGGGUCGCAAAUAGCAGAGGUUUGCUGCCAUUGCGGCUUAGGGUAAGAUCGCCUCAAAUUAAGGUUUAAGCAAUCUGGCUGGCUCAAGGGCGGAUUGUUAAAUUUAAGUUUGGUGAGAUGGUUAUGGAAUUAAGUUUAAAGUGUGUUGUAAUCCUCUAAAUGCCCUCAAUAAAGCUAUGGUCUUUUCAACCAAUGUUAAAUGGUGUUGGUUCUUAUUUAUUAUAUGGUAUUUGGUGUAUCUCUAAAUAUGAUCAUCUGAAGAACAUGGGCCUGGAUUAGGAUAUUCUUUACCUGUCCUGCCUUGUUGUUUGGAAUCCUGAUUGCCAGAUGUGGAAUUUAC